This 1703-nucleotide ribosomal RNA is filed under the name Triticum aestivum (bread wheat). RNAcentral describes it as "partial small subunit ribosomal RNA". Lineage: Eukaryota; Viridiplantae; Streptophyta; Magnoliopsida; Poales; Poaceae. The record is from RNAcentral.
CUCCUCCCCACCCCUCUCCCUCUCUCUCCCACUCGUCUCUCCCUCUCCCUUGCACGAGCAGCUAUGGCGACCUCCCUCGACCCCGCGCCGCUGCGCCACCUCGCCUCCGCCCGCCGGUGCGUGCCGCCACCUCACCAGACCCAAGGAGCCUCGCCGCCUUGUGCUGCCGCCUGCGCCGCGUCGCGCGCCGCCACCUCCCCACAAGCUCGCCGCCCCGCCAUGGAAGCCUCGUCGAGCACCGAGCUCCUCUGCGCCCCGCCCGCGUCGCGGCUGCCGCCCCACGCUGCCUCGCGCCCGGAUCCGGCCGAGGGUGGUCCGGCCACUCUAGAUCCAGCCUCCUCCUCACCGCACGGGCCUCCUCCUUGCCGGAGUGACGCCCCUCGCCGGAGCAGCGCCAACCAAGCCCAUCAGCCACCAGGGUCGUGCUGCAGCCCAUCCGCGAGAUCUCUGGCGCCGUGCAGCUGCCAGGGUCCAAGUCGCUCUCCAACCGGAUCCUCGUCCUCUCCGCCCUCUCCGAGGGAACAACGGUGGUGGAUAACCUGUUGAACAGCGAGGAUGUCCACUACAUGCUCGAGGCCCUGGAAGCCCUUGGACUCUCCGUGGAAGCAAAUAAAGUUGCAAAAGGAGCUGUGGUUGUUGGCUGCGGCGGCAGGUUCCCAGUUGAAAAGGACACCAAAGAGGAAGUAAAGCUCUUCUUGGGUAAUGCUGGAACUGCAAUGCGGCCACUGACAGUAGCUGUAGUUCCUGCUGGUGGAAAUGCAACGUAUGUUUUCUUUAUCCUAGUGGAAAUAAGUAUGAGAUCCAUGGGUAGUUGUGAGAUCUUCUUUUCGUUCAGUACUUGUUGAGGCUGUCAUAAUUUUCUUUUACUUGAAAUUCUGCUUGGAUUUUCUAAUUAUGCAUUUACCCAGAUUAAUGCUUAAAACUAAAGUUGGCCAUUGGAUCUUUUUUGGUUAGGCGAAUUUUAUGUUUGUACAUGCUUGAUAUGAAAGGAGGGGUUUAUUUAAUGAACUACACAUAUGGUUUCACAUUCCACCUGUGUGCUCGCAAUUUAAAUGCAGUAUAUUUUACUCACUAAUACAUCUUGAACAAUCUAAAAAAUAUAUAGCUUGGUUUAUCUUUGUAACUCCUUAGCUGAUUUUUCCAUUUUCCACAUUGUUGUGUCUAUUUUCUCAGUUUGGUCCUGUGUAAAUACUUGUCUUAGGGGUCUCUAUAUUGCAUAUACACGGAAUCUUCAAUUUGUCUCAAAUACUCAGUGGUAAAAACCAGCCAUGCUGGUGGUUCUUAUCAGUGUGAUGGUAUGCUAACUGUUUCUGAUACAAUUCUGCUCUAAAAGCCCUACACUAUUUUUGUCUGUGGAUACGCUGUGCAGACAAAUGCUGAAUUAAAAAGUCAUAACUUUACACUAAUUUAAGAUUGUCUUGAUCUCAAGUGCUGGCUCCUACAGCAUUGCAUUUCACCAAGUGAAAUGCUACAUUUCUACUCCUAACCCAUUCUCUCUUUCUUAGUGUUUUUGUUAUGCAGGUUGGAAGAAAAGAAGAAGAUCCGGAGAAGAUCUUAGUAAUAAGAUAGUUUUUAGGAAAAUAAAUAUUUAGUUUUAGGUCAUUUCUUGUAUUUUCAGAUAUGGAGUGCUUGUCUUUAGUUUUUGUUUUUACUUUGUGAAACUUGCUACCUAUGGAUGAAACUGUGUAAUAUUGAUGAAACAA